GAGCUGUACAAGGUUGUUUUUUUCCCUCUGAUACUUCAUGCAAACCACAUUUCCCCAGGCCUGUCCUAAUCCGCUUACUCAGUAUCACUAGAUCCAUUGCUGCUCCUCCAGCAGAGCACACAAAAGUAGGAGAGACCGGAGAUGUCAUGGCUUAGUUGGGAGACUGUUUGCUUCAAGGCCACUAGAGGGUGCUGCCAUAAAACUAUAAUAAAUGAAUUGACCUUUUGACCUGCUCACACUCUUUUAUGCAAAACCCUUCAAAAAGUGCUGAUGUUACACACACACACACACACACACACAAAGAGAUUCUAGGUCUGACCAACCGUCUCCGCCGUGGGCAAAAAGAUGACAGUCAAUAAAAUUCUGAGAGGUAAUUUAUAAACACAAUGAAUAAAAGUUAAAACAGUCCAGUGUCCUGUUUAGGUACAAAGCAAAAACACACAGUCCAAGGCCAGAGCCAGCUAUGCCACAAAGCCAGUUGCACUCCACACGUUGUUCACUUCAACAGGGAUAGCAGUUGUCCUCUGAGACUCACCACCCUGUAAGUAGAUAGCCAGUGAUCACUCCGUCCUCUGCAACUCAGCUGCCUUUAGGUUAGGGCCUAUUAUAUGCCGCAGCCUAAAGGCAGCUGAGUUGCAGAGGACGGAGUGAUCACUGGCUAUCUACUUACAGGGUGGUGAGUCUCAGAGGACAACUGCUACCCCUGUUGAAGUGAACAACGUGUGGAGUGCAACUGGCUUUGUGGCAUAGCUGGCUCUGGCCUUGGACUGUGUGUUUUUUUUACUUUGUACCUAAACGGGACACUGGACUGUUAACUUUUAUUCAUUGUGUUUAUAAAUUACCUCUCAGAAUUUUAUUGACUGUCAUCUUUUUGCCCACGGCGGAGACGGUUGGUCAGACCUAGAAUCUCUUUGUGUGUGUGUGUGUGUGUGUGUGUGUGUGUGUGUGUGUGUAACAUCAGCACUUUUUGAAGGGUUUUGCAUAAGAGUGUGAGCAGGUCAAAAGGUCAAUUCAUUUAUUAUAGUUUUAUGGCAGCACCCUCUAGUGGCCUUGAAGCAAACAGUCUCCCAACUAAGCCAUGACAUCCGGGUCUCCUACUUUUGUGUGCUCUGCUGGAGGAGCAGCAAUGGAUCUAGUGAUACUGAGUAAGCGGAUUAGGACAGGCCUGGGGAAAUGUGGUUUGCAUGAAGUAUCAGAGGGAAAAAAACAACCUUGUACGGCUCAUACUUUUUAUUAACAAAAAUAAUAAUACACUAAUAAUGAAUACUUUUCAUGACGUUCAGAUUUCUGGACUCAUGAGUUCAUAGAACAUUAAUGUUAUGGAACUUUGAGAUAAGUCUUAAAACUACAUUGUGUACUUAUUAUUUAUUUACUUUAAUCAGAUUUGACUGGUAUUUUUAAACAUUCAUAUUUUUUUUUUUUUUUUUUUUUUUUGUUCCUUCAACUAUUGUAUUUAAACUUAUGACUCACUCACAGUAUGUUUAUAGAACUGCCCAAAUAAACGGUGAGGAUGUGGCCACAGUGGCUGAGAAGCAAGAAAUUUGCUGGGUUUUUUUUUGUUUUGUUUUUGUUUUUUUUUCAUUGUGAAGCAUAAAUGAACAUACCACAGAAACCUGCACGAAGAAGCCAUAUUUGUUUUUUGUGGGUGCACAAGAUGAAGCUUUAGUAUUAUUACACAUAUGAUAAUGAUGUUAGC
Molecule: long non-coding RNA, 1696 nt
Organism: Oreochromis aureus
Lineage: Eukaryota; Metazoa; Chordata; Actinopteri; Cichliformes; Cichlidae
Source: Ensembl